AAAAAGUGAAGAAGAAAAAGAAAAAAGAAAUUGCAAAAGAAAAAGAAAUCGAAAAAGUGAAAGAAAAAGAAAACGAAGAAAAGAAAAUUGAAAAAGAAAUUGAGAUUGAGAAAAAAAUUGAAAAAGAAAAAGAUGUUGAAAAAGAAAAGAGAGAAAAUGAAGAUAGUGAGCGAGAACAAGAAAAUGAGAACGAAAUUUUAACUAACCCCCG
Molecule: long non-coding RNA, 211 nt
Filed under: Gossypium raimondii (Peruvian cotton)
Lineage: Eukaryota; Viridiplantae; Streptophyta; Magnoliopsida; Malvales; Malvaceae
Description: long non-coding RNA (GRAI_LNC002134)
Source: RNAcentral